This 21-nucleotide microRNA is filed under the name Gossypium hirsutum (cotton). Its description in RNAcentral is "ghr-miR7488". The record is from miRBase by way of RNAcentral. Lineage: Eukaryota; Viridiplantae; Streptophyta; Magnoliopsida; Malvales; Malvaceae.
UUUUGAGUACAGGGGACAAAA